GUGGGGAAUAUUGGACAAUGGGCGAAAGCCUGAUCCAGCCAUGCCGCGUGUGUGAAGAAGGUCUUCGGAUUGUAAAGCACUUUAAGUUGGGAGGAAGGGCAGUAAGUUAAUACCUUGCUGUUUUGACGUUACCGACAGAAUAAGCACCGGCUAACUUCGUGCCAGCAGCCGCGGUAAUACGAAGGGUGCAAGCGUUAAUCGGAAUUACUGGGCGUAAAGCGCGCGUAGGUGGUUUUGUAAGUUGGAGGUGAAAUCCCCGGGCUCAACAUGGGAACUGCCUCCAAAACUGCAUGACUAGAGUACGGUAGAAGGUAGUGGAAUUUCCUGUGUAGCGGUGAAAUGCGUAGAUAUAGGAAGGAACACCAGUGGCGAAGGCGACUACCUGGACUGAUACUGACACUGAGGUGCGAAAGCGUGGGGAGCAAACAGGAUUAGAUACCCGUGUAGUCC
RNAcentral lists this ribosomal RNA (450 nucleotides) under uncultured bacterium. Its description in RNAcentral is "partial 16S ribosomal RNA". It matches the Rfam family "Bacterial small subunit ribosomal RNA", at positions 354 to 796 of the family's 1533-position model. The record is from RNAcentral.